RNAcentral lists this ribosomal RNA (199 nucleotides) under uncultured bacterium. RNAcentral's name for it is "partial 16S ribosomal RNA". It matches the Rfam family "Bacterial small subunit ribosomal RNA", at positions 1294 to 1500 of the family's 1533-position model. The record is from RNAcentral.
CGGAUCGGAGUCUGCAACCCGACUCCGUGAAGCUGGAUUCGCUAGUAAUCGCGCAUCAGCCAUGGCGCGGUGAAUACGUUCCCGGGCCUUGUACACACCGCCCGUCAAGCCAUGGGAGCCGGGGGUGCUUGAAGUGCGUCGCCGCAAGGCGCGCCCUGGAGCAAAACCGGUGACUGGGGCUAAGUCGUAACAAGGUAGC